Molecule: unclassified non-coding RNA, 312 nt
Filed under: uncultured fungus
Lineage: Eukaryota; Fungi
Description: partial contains 5.8S ribosomal RNA and internal transcribed spacer 2
Rfam family: 5.8S ribosomal RNA (bases 1-133)
Source: RNAcentral
UGGCUCUGGCAUCGAUGAAGAACGCAGCGAAAUGCGAUAAGUAGUGUGAAUUGCAGAAUUCAGUGAAUCAUCGAAUCUUUGAACGCACAUUGCGCCCCUUGGUAUUCCAUGGGGCAUGCCUGUUCGAGCGUCAUCUACACCCUCAAGCUCUGCUUGGUGUUGGGCGUCUGUCCCUGCGGACUCGCCCCAAAUUCAUUGGCAGCGGUCUUUGCCUCCUCUCGCGCAGCACAAUUGCGUUGAAGGGGGCGUGGGCCGUAUCCACAAAGCAGUAUAACCGUCUUUGACCUCGGAUCAGGUAGGGAUACCCGCUGA